RNAcentral lists this ribosomal RNA (433 nucleotides) under uncultured bacterium. Its description in RNAcentral is "partial 16S ribosomal RNA". It matches the Rfam family "Bacterial small subunit ribosomal RNA", at positions 29 to 507 of the family's 1533-position model. The record is from RNAcentral.
AACGAACGCUGGCGGCAUGCCUAACACAUGCAAGUCGAACGAGACCUUCGGGUCUAGUGGCGCACGGGUGCGUAACGCGUGGGAACCUGCCCUUAGGUUCGGAAUAACUCCCCGAAAGGGGUGCUAAUACCGGAUAAUGUCUUCGGACCAAGGAUUUAUCGCCUUUGGAUGGGCCCGCGUUGGAUUAGCUAGUUGGUAGGGUAAAAGCCUACCAAGGCGACGAUCCAUAGCUGGUCUGAGAGGAUGAUCAGCCACACUGGGACUGAGACACGGCCCAGACUCCUACGGGAGGCAGCAGUGGGGAAUAUUGGACAGUGGGCGAAAGCCUGAUCCAGCAAUGCCGCGUGAGUGAUGAAGGCCUUAGGGUUGUAAAGCUCUUUUACCCGGGAUGAUAAUGACAGUACCGGGAGAAUAAGCUCCGGCUAACUCCGUG